Molecule: ribosomal RNA, 253 nt
Filed under: uncultured bacterium
Lineage: Bacteria
Description: partial 16S ribosomal RNA
Rfam family: Bacterial small subunit ribosomal RNA
Source: RNAcentral
UACGUAGGGUGCAAGCGUUGUCCGGAAUUAUUGGGCGUAAAGAGCUCGUAGGCGGUUUGUCGCGUCUGCUGUGAAAACCCGGGGCUCAACUCCGGAUCUGCGGUGGGUACGGGCAGACUAGAGUGAUGUAGGGGAGACUGGAAUUCCUGGUGUAGCGGUGAAAUGCGCAGAUAUCAGGAGGAACACCGGUGGCGAAGGCGGUUCUCUGGGCAUUACCUGACGCUGAGGAGCGAAAGUGUGGGGAGCGAACAGG